AAUCAACGCUGGCGGCGUGCCUCAGACAUGCAAGUCGAACGAUUAAAGCUCUCUUCGGAGAGUGUAUAGAGUGGCGCACGGGUGAGUAACACGUAAGUAAUCUACCUUUGAGUGGGGAAUAACCCGGGGAAACCCGAGCUAAUACCGCAUAAUGCAGCGGCAUCGCAAGAUGACAGUUGUUAAAGGAGCAAUCCGCUUAAAGAGGAGCUUGCGGCAGAUUAGCUAGUUGGUAAGGUAAUGGCUUACCAAGGCUACGAUCUGUAUCCGGUCUAAGAGGACGGUCGGACACACUGACACUGAAUAACGGGUCAGACUCCUACGGGAGGCAGCAGUCGGGAAUUUUGGGCAAUGGGCGAAAGCCUGACCCAGCAACGCCGCGUGAAGGAUGAAGUAUUCGGUAUGUAAACUUCGAAAGAAUAGGAAGAAUAAAUGACGGUACUAUUUAUAAGUCCGGCUAACUACGUGCCA
RNAcentral lists this ribosomal RNA (468 nucleotides) under uncultured bacterium. RNAcentral describes it as "bacterial SSU rRNA". It matches the Rfam family "Bacterial small subunit ribosomal RNA", at positions 32 to 510 of the family's 1533-position model. The record is from RNAcentral.